This 28-nucleotide small RNA is filed under the name Bombyx mori (domestic silkworm). Its description in RNAcentral is "ovarian small RNA-12201". Lineage: Eukaryota; Metazoa; Arthropoda; Insecta; Lepidoptera; Bombycidae. The record is from RNAcentral.
AGGCGCUUUAACAAGCUUAGAGCUUCAA